AAGGUGUUUAGAUGUCUCAGGCUGGUAUCUUAGCAUGAGAAGUCGCUAUCUAAAUUAUUUUUACUAUUUCCAUCUGCAGCCAUAAAGACAUGGGGCUCACUACCAUCAUGAGCUCUGAUGGCUUCUAGCCAGGGCUGUAAGUUGGACUUAAGCUGACCCUGAAAAUGUUUGAUGAGCUAAUUCCCUCAUUUGUCAUUGGAAGUGCAAACUUUGGAAAUCCUGCCUUCGAGUCGGCCAAGAAAAGACGAAAACCAGAACGCAAAGGUCAGGGUGUGUGUGCUCAGAGCUGCUGCCUGGGAAGGGAAUGGUGUAGCCUUUGUCCUGUCAGGCCUCACCUCAGCUGAUCUGUGCUGCGUGUCCUUUGAGGAAAGACUUCCACUGUCCACCUAUGUCCGCUUCCAUUGACCUUGCUCCAGGAGGAGAGUGGCUCCUGCCCACCUCAGAAACUGGCUUGGGAGAUGGCUGCUGCCCCAUCCCUUCCACAUCCUGUGGGAAACCUUUCCUAGUGUGCUGCUGGUGUGACUUGGUUUAAAAUCCCUGCAUGAAAAAGCUGCUGUUGUCCUUACAGGGUCAUGUUUUAGAAUGCUCUCUGAUCUGAAGUUGUAGCUGAACCGAACUUGCUUCUAUUCUGUAAGCCUGCAUUAUAAAAUUCAUCCAGAUUUUUCUUCCUUUUUGGAAGUGGUGCUACCAACUUCUCCAACUGUCAUUACAAAAUGAGUGAGUUGCUCUAGGUCCAUUGAGUAGAUUGGCUUGGAAGCACUUUCACAUUUUUACCUGCAGUUGUCCUCCCUGCUUUGUGAGUUGACUUUGCUGUGUUCGAUGUGUUCGGGCAUCACAUAACUGUGGAGAAAGCUUUCCUUGUAUGAUUUUAGAGUGGUUUAUAGCCAUUGUGCAGUUGUUACUUUAUGGAAAAAAAAAUACAGGUUUGGGGCAGAUUUUACUUCUUAGCUGCUUUAACUUAGCUCCAGUUAUAGGUUGAGAGAAAACACCCAUUUCUUUCCACAGCAUGCAAGGUCAGGGACCCUGCAUACUUUGUCUGAAACCUGAAAGCACCCGGGGAACUACAUAGCUGGUUCUACUAGGUGUGCUCCAGAUUGUGUUAUGCUGAUACAAUGCUGAAAGGGCUGCGUGUACUGUUUGAUUGCAGCUCUCGGUUGCGUACUCUGCAUACCCAGAAAAGCACUGCUGUCUUGUAGGCUUGGAAAAAGAGGGU
Coturnix japonica (Japanese quail) is the source of this 1213-nucleotide non-coding RNA. NCBI's taxonomy places the organism in Eukaryota, Metazoa, Chordata, Aves, Galliformes, Phasianidae. The record is from RefSeq and is a predicted model, not a curated record.